GGGGGUGCCGGGCUUCGCUAGGGAUUAUCUCUUAUACUGGCAUGCCGAGGCGGCUCCGGCCUCGUAAACAGUGGAGCAAACUUAUAAGUGCCAACUUAUUUUCCAAAGCAAAAGUUGCUCUAACUAACGCAUUCGGCGCUAGUUUCAACUUCGCUCCAUCAAUGGCUUAAUGCCGUUGGUCGUCAGCAGGAUGAGAUCUCGUAGUUCUUGUCUGGCGUAAAUCACGAGAAGUAGGCCCUAUUCUGACGCUGAUUGGAAUAUGACCGAACUCAAUUCAGCACCCUCUCUGCCUUUUGUUCCUUAGAACCCAGAGAGUACUAUAAAGGAAAUAAGCAUGUAGAAAGUUUAAGAAUAAAUCUUUAGACGCGAGUUCAACUCUCGCCACCUCCACCA
This 393-nucleotide transfer-messenger RNA is filed under the name bacterium. It matches the Rfam family "transfer-messenger RNA". From Rfam's summary of the family: Bacterial tmRNA, also known as 10Sa RNA or SsrA, is named for its dual tRNA and mRNA-like properties. The record is from RNAcentral.